This 88-nucleotide unclassified non-coding RNA is filed under the name Pseudomonas orientalis. Lineage: Bacteria; Pseudomonadati; Pseudomonadota; Gammaproteobacteria; Pseudomonadales; Pseudomonadaceae. The record is from RNAcentral.
UGUGGGAGGGGGCUUGCCCCCGAUGACGGUGGAUCAGUCAGAGUGUUUGCAACUGAUACACCGCAAUCGGGGCAAGCCCCCUCCCACA